GAUGAACGCUGGCGGCGUGCCUAAUACAUGCAAGUCGAGCGAACAGAUGAGGAGCUUGCUCCUCUGACGUUAGCGGCGGACGGGUGAGUAACACGUGGAUAACCUACCUAUAAGACUGGGAUAACUUCGGGAAACCGGAGCUAAUACCGGAUAAUAUAUUGAACCGCAUGGUUCAAUAGUGAAAGACGGUUUUGCUGUCACUUAUAGAUAGAUCCGCGCCGCAUUAGCUAGUUGGUAAGGUAACGGCUUACCAAGGCAACGAUGCGUAGCCGACCUGAGAGGGUGAUCGGCCACACUGGAACUGAGACACGGUCCAGACUCCUACGGGAGGCAGCAGUAGGGAAUCUUCCGCAAAGGGCGAAAGCUUGACGGAGCAACGCCGCGUGAGUGAUGAAGGUCUUCGGAUCGUAAAACUCUGUUAUUAGGGAAGAACAAAUGUGUAAGUAACUAUGCACGUCUUGACGGUACCUAAUCAGAAAGCCACGGCUAACUACGUG
This 497-nucleotide ribosomal RNA is filed under the name uncultured bacterium. Its description in RNAcentral is "partial 16S ribosomal RNA". It matches the Rfam family "Bacterial small subunit ribosomal RNA", at positions 28 to 507 of the family's 1533-position model. The record is from RNAcentral.